RNAcentral lists this ribosomal RNA (1464 nucleotides) under Triticum aestivum (bread wheat). Its description in RNAcentral is "partial small subunit ribosomal RNA". The record is from RNAcentral. Lineage: Eukaryota; Viridiplantae; Streptophyta; Magnoliopsida; Poales; Poaceae.
AUGGCCACUCACAGCCCCCAACCCACGUCGAAGAAGGUGUGCAUAGUGGGAGCCGGCAUGGCCGGGCUGGCAGCGGUGCGUGAGCUGCGGCGCGAGGGCCACGCCGUGACGGUGCUGGAGCAGAGCCACGACGUCGGCGGCCAGUGGCUGUACGACCCGAGAACCGACGACGCCGACCCGCUCGGCGCCGCGGCGCCGGUGAGGGUGCACAGCAGCAUGUACGACUCGCUCCGGCUGAUGAGCCCCAGGGAGGCGAUGGGCUUCUCGGACUUCCCGUUCGCGUCCAGGGAUGGCGCCGGAGCUGGCUGCGACCCCCGCCGCUUCCCGGGCCACCGCGAGGUGUACUGCUACCUCAAGGACUUCUGCGACGCGUUCGGGCUCGUGGACGCCAUCAGGCUCAACACCAGAGCUGUCCGCAUCGCCUUGGCGCCACCUUGCGACGUCGGGUCGAGUUUGCGGUGGCAAGUGAGGGCCGUGCAGGUAGAGCCGGAGAGCAACAAGGAGGUCUCGUACACGGAGGAGGUGUUCGACGCCGUCGUGGUGGCCACUGGCCACUACUCGCAGCCGAAGCUCCCAAGCAUCGACGGGAUGGAGCAGUGGAGGAGGACGCAGCUGCACAGCCACUCGUACCGGACGCCGGGGCCGUUCUGCGGCGAGACGGUCGUUGUGGUCGGGUGCGGGGAGAGCGGCACGGACAUCGCCGUGGAGCUAACCGGCGUCGCCAGGGAGGUGCACCUCGCCGCUAGGUCAAUGGAGGUGGUGAGCCCGGGCCUGUCCAAGGCAAUCGCCAGGCACGACAACCUGCACCUCCACCUCGGGGUGGAGCGGCUGCGCGAAGACGGAGCCGUGGUCUUCGCGGACGGUUCCAGCGCCGUCGCGGACACCGUCAUCUACUGCACGGGGUACAGCUACUCGUUCCCUUUCCUAGAGACGGAGGGGAGGGUCACCGUGGACGACAACCGCGUGGAUCCGCUGUUCGAGCACGUGUUCCCGGCGUCGCCACUGGCGCCGUCGUUGUCGUUCGUGGGCAUCCCCAUCAGAGUGAUCGCACCGUGGUUCUUUGAGGGCCAAGCAAGGUGGGUUGCGCGGGUCUUGUCCGGCAGGAGCGAGCUGCCGACCGAGGCGGAAAUGGUGCGGUCCGUGGAGGCCCAGCGGCGCGCCAGGGAGGCUGCCGGCGUGCCGAACAAGUUGGCGCAUGACAUCUGCGGCGUCGAGCCUCACCAGUACAUGAGCGAGUUCGGAGAGAGGUGGUGCGGGUUCCCGCGGCUGGAGAGCUGGAAGAUCGAGCUGUUCGCGUCGUCGGUGAAGAACAUGGCGGCCAACUUCGAGACAUUUCGUGACGAAUACGAAGACAGCGACACGGUUCGCGAGGCUCUCAAGGAGUGGCGCCGCUCGUCUGGUGUGGGUGCUCGACAUCCAGAGGAGGAAGAAGACGCUGAUGCAGCAGAAGCCAUGCCCCCCUAG